CUGAAGAACGCCGUUGAGAGACUACACCGCCCAUGAAACCCUGCAGUAUAACCUUGAAGUACCAUCACGGAGAGAAACAGUGCCAUCUCAGGGCCAGUGGCGCAAUGGAUAACGCGUCUGACUACGGAUCAGAAGAUUCCAGGAGCCAAUGACCAAUAGGCCAGAGCACUGGAGACUUUCUGGAAGAAAGAGGUACCCACUCCCAGAUAAUGCUCCCACUUAUCCCCCUGGCUUUCCUCGCUUUCAGGCCCAAUUCUUCCACCUUAUCUUGUUCUUUUGUCCUUGUUUAAACACCUCUAGCCCAUUGAAAACCUCUUGGCAUCUUCUACUGUGCUCCCCUCCUCCCUCAGCGCUUGCCUCCCUCCCCAGGCCCACCUUCACUCAUCUCUGUGCCUGCCCAGCCAGCCACACUCUUCAACACCAAAAUAAUGGCCUGUUUGACCCUCCUACUGCUCCAAAUUUCUUUUUCACAAUCAAGGCUGUACUCCAGCUAUGAAAGUGGCAGAGUUACUGAGGCAAAAUAAUCUGUGCAGAUUUGCAUUCUCUUUUUUGUCAUCUCUAUUAUACAGUGUUUAUCUGUCAAAAUGAAUAGAAAGCAGGAACUGUUCUGAACAUAGAAAAAGAUGGAAAACUACCCAAUUUAUUUAUGAAGACAGAACACAUCUAAUAUCAAAACCUGUCAGAAAUAACACUCCCAAAAAAGCUAUAGACCCUUACUUAUGGAUAUAAAUGUUAGAUUCCUAAAAUAUUUAAGAUUAAUAAAUAAAACGUAACAGUAUGUUAAUAUAGUAAUUAUAUAAUACAACCAAUUAGGGUUUAUACCAAUAAUUAAUACAAAGGUAUUAGGAAAUUUCUUUAUAGAAUAGGUCAAAAAUAAACCAAACAAAAAAUAUUUGACGGUUGUUAAUUGUCAAAGAAGA
Molecule: long non-coding RNA, 920 nt
Filed under: Homo sapiens (human)
Lineage: Eukaryota; Metazoa; Chordata; Mammalia; Primates; Hominidae
Description: HSALNT0208187
Source: RNAcentral